GUUGAAGUUCCUAGGAGGGGAAAAAAAAGGAUAGUUGAAUGACAAGACUGUCUGGAGGCCUGCCUUCAUCAUCACCUUCCUUGAUCUUCCUUGGUCCGAGUCCUCAGGGUGAAAACUAAGACCUUGGCACAGAUCCCAAGAAACAUUUCUACAUUUUUCAAGAAAAGACACUCCACAGUCUAGAACAUAAGGGCAUUCUUAUUCCCAUGCAACCUCAUCCUUCUGCUGGAAUAAAAAGCAAGUUCUGACAUCGUGGAAAGACACAAAUAUAUCCGCCUAUAGUUCUGAAAUCAUUACAGAGGUUUUCAAGCUUUUUACAUCUGUCCCAUCACCUUGUCAUCAGGAAGGAAGACAUUUCCCAGCACCCACACUGUGACUCGCAAUCAUCUGUAACUACAAUUCCAGCAGAUCUGGUGUAAUCACAACCGUCUGUGACUACAGCUCCUGCAGAUCCAGUGUAAUCUCAACCAUCUGUAACUACAGUUCAGGCAGAUCUGGUGAAAUCACAACCAUCUGUAACUAUGGUUCCAACAGAUCCAGUGCCCUCUUCUGAUUUUGGCAGGUACCAGUCAUGCACUUGGUAUACAUGUAUACAUGUAGGCAAAACAUUCACACACAUAAAAUAGAUUUUCAAAAAAUUGUCUGUAAAAGACUUACAAACUGAAUUCACAAAUGCAUAAAAAAAGACUAUACACUCUGAGCAAGUAACCUUUAUCUUAAAGAUGCAGAUAUGGUUCACACUUCAUAAACUGAUAAAAAGAAUCCAUGAUCUCAAAGGCAGAAACUAUGUGAUCAUCUAAUUAGAUACAGAAAACACCUUUGACAAAAUCUAAAAUCUUCUCAUAAGAAAAGUCCUGAAGAAUCUAGGGAUGUGGUAUAGGUGUAAAAAAAUGACUUUUAGAAUAGGAUUCCAUUUGCCUAUGAAUAAGGUCAACAAAUGACAAGUGGGACUUCAUAAAACUAAGAAGCUUCUGCACAACUAAAGAAGCAAUCAGGUGAAGAGGAAGCCCACAGAAGGGGAGAGAAUUCUUUCCAUCUAUACAACUGACAGAAGAUUAAUAAAAAGGGAACUCAAAAGAAAAAAAACAGUCAAAAAGAAAAAAGAAAAGAAACGAAAACAACAACAAUAAUAAAAUCCUGAUGAUUUAUUAGAAAAAUGGGCCUGGGAAAAAAGAGCUAAGAGAAAUCUUUAAAAAUGUUCACCAUUCUUAGCAAUUAUGGAAAUGUAAUAAAAACAUUAGUGAUUUCAUCUUACCACAGCAUGGUAAAGAUGAAGAAAACAACUGACAACAGAUGCUGGAAGGAGUGUCAGGGGAAGGGAACCCUUACUUACUGUUGGUGGCAUUGCAAACUGAUGUAGCUACUAUGGAAAUCAAUGUGGGGAAUUCUCAAGAGGACAAAAAUAAUCCACCAUAUUACCCAGUUAUGCUACUCCUGAGUCUAUGUCCAGAGGACUUCACAUCUGACUCUACAGAUAUUUGCUCCACCAUGUCCACUGACAUAGCAAGGAAAUGGAAACAACCUAAAUACCCUGAAAAUUAUGAAUGGAUAAUGAAAAUGUGGUUCAUAUUUAUUAGGGAAUGCUAUUCAGCUAUAAAGGAAAACGAAAUAAUGAACUUUGCAGGUAAAUGAUGGAACCAGGAAAGUUCAUAUUGUAUUAGGUAACCUAGACACAGAUACAUCUUAUGUUCUCUCAUCUGAGACUCCUAGCUCCAAAUUCUCAGAUGUGAGUACAUAUCCUGGAGUAAAUACAGAAACCAGGAAAGUAACAAGGAACCAUUGCUAGGGUGUGGGGAUGGGAGAGCAAUAGAGAGGUGAAUGGUAGUAUACAAGUGACGUGAUGGGGGAAAAUGUGAAAAUGUGAGAGAGUCUAAUUAGGGAUGGGGGAGGGAGAUAAAAACAGAAGAA
Peromyscus maniculatus bairdii (prairie deer mouse) is the source of this 1908-nucleotide non-coding RNA. Lineage: Eukaryota; Metazoa; Chordata; Mammalia; Rodentia; Cricetidae. The record is from RefSeq and is a predicted model, not a curated record.